RNAcentral lists this ribosomal RNA (652 nucleotides) under Enterobacter cloacae. RNAcentral's name for it is "bacterial SSU rRNA". It matches the Rfam family "Bacterial small subunit ribosomal RNA", at positions 825 to 1477 of the family's 1533-position model. The record is from RNAcentral. Lineage: Bacteria; Pseudomonadati; Pseudomonadota; Gammaproteobacteria; Enterobacterales; Enterobacteriaceae.
UUUGCCCUUGAGGCGUGGCUUCCGGAGCUAACGCGUUAAAUCGACCGCCUGGGGAGUACGGCCGCAAGGUUAAAACUCAAAUGAAUUGACGGGGGCCCGCACAAGCGGUGGAGCAUGUGGUUUAAUUCGAUGCAACGCGAAGAACCUUACCUGGUCUUGACAUCCACAGAACUUAGCAGAGAUGCUUUGGUGCCUUCGGGAACUGUGAGACAGGUGCUGCAUGGCUGUCGUCAGCUCGUGUUGUGAAAUGUUGGGUUAAGUCCCGCAACGAGCGCAACCCUUAUCCUUUGUUGCCAGCGGUUAGGCCGGGAACUCAAAGGAGACUGCCAGUGAUAAACUGGAGGAAGGUGGGGAUGACGUCAAGUCAUCAUGGCCCUUACGACCAGGGCUACACACGUGCUACAAUGGCGCAUACAAAGAGAAGCGACCUCGCGAGAGCAAGCGGACCUCAUAAAGUGCGUCGUAGUCCGGAUUGGAGUCUGCAACUCGACUCCAUGAAGUCGGAAUCGCUAGUAAUCGUAGAUCAGAAUGCUACGGUGAAUACGUUCCCGGGCCUUGUACACACCGCCCGUCACACCAUGGGAGUGGGUUGCAAAAGAAGUAGGUAGCUUAACCUUCGGGAGGGCGCUUACCACUUUGUGAUUCAUGACUG